Molecule: ribosomal RNA, 820 nt
Filed under: uncultured Cytophaga sp.
Lineage: Bacteria; Pseudomonadati; Bacteroidota; Cytophagia; Cytophagales; Cytophagaceae
Description: bacterial SSU rRNA
Rfam family: Bacterial small subunit ribosomal RNA
Source: RNAcentral
UUGGCUUGCGCGGUCUACCAUGCAGUCGAGGGGUAUCGGUUUCGGCCGAGAGACCGGCGCACGGGUGCGUAACGCGUAUGUAACCUGCCUCACACUGGGGGAUAGCCUUCCGAAAGGGAGAUUAAUACCGCAUAAUAAUAUUGUUCUGCCUGGGAUGAUAUUUAAAGCUUCGGUGGUGUGAGAUGGACAUGCGUAUGAUUAGCUAGUUGGCGGGGUAACGGCCCACCAAGGCGACGAUCAUUAGGGGUUCUGAGAGGAAGAUCCCCCACACUGGUACUGAGACACGGACCAGACUCCUACGGGAGGCAGCAGUGAGGAAUAUUGGUCAAUGGGCGAAAGCCUGAACCAGCCAUGUCGCGUGCAGGAAGACGGCCCUAUGGGUUGUAAACUGCUUUUGUAUGGGAAGAAACGACAGUACGUGUACUGUUUUGCCGGUACCAUACGAAUAAGGAUCGGCUAACUCCGUGCCAGCAGCCGCGGUAAUACGGAGGAUCCAAGCGUUAUCCGGAUUUAUUGGGUUUAAAGGGUGCGUAGGCGGGAGAUUAAGUCAGUGGUGAAAGUUUGCGGCUCAACCGUAAAAUUGCCAUUGAUACUGGUUUUCUUGAGUACAGUUGAGGUAGGCGGAAUGUGGUGUGUAGCGGUGAAAUGCUUAGAUAUACCACAGAACACCGAUUGCGAAGGCAGCUUACUAAGUUGUGACUGACGCUGAAGCACGAAAGCAUGGGGAUCAAACAGGAUUAGAUACCCUGGUAGUCCAUGCCGUAAACGAUGAUCACUAGCUGUUUGCGAUAUAUUGUAAGUGGCAAAGGGAAACCAUUAA